GAUUGACGCUGCGGCGUCUAUACUGCAAAGUCGAGCGGACAGAUGGGAGCUUGCUCCCUGUGUUAGCGGCGGCGGACGGGUGAGUAACACGUGGUAACCUCGCCUGUAAGACUAGGAAUAACUCCGGAAACCGGGGCUAAUACCGGAUGGUUGUCUGAACCGCAUUGGUUCAGAACAUAAAAGGUGGCUUCGGCUACCACUUACAGAUGGACCCGCGGCGCAUUAUCUAGUUGGUAACGCUCACCAAGGCGACGAUGCGUAGCCGACCUGAGAGGGUGUAAGCCCACACUGGGACUGAGACACGGCCAAACUCCUACGGGAGGCAGCAGUGGGAA
RNAcentral lists this ribosomal RNA (335 nucleotides) under Bacillus subtilis. RNAcentral describes it as "bacterial SSU rRNA". It matches the Rfam family "Bacterial small subunit ribosomal RNA", at positions 28 to 361 of the family's 1533-position model. Lineage: Bacteria; Bacillati; Bacillota; Bacilli; Caryophanales; Bacillaceae. The record is from RNAcentral.